This 1438-nucleotide unclassified non-coding RNA is filed under the name Caenorhabditis elegans. RNAcentral's name for it is "Non-coding transcript of protein-coding gene F22F7.4b". The record is from RNAcentral. Lineage: Eukaryota; Metazoa; Nematoda; Chromadorea; Rhabditida; Rhabditidae.
AUCUAAAAUUCAACCAUUUCAAAGCACUCACACAUUUAUUCACUCUGCCUACUACUAUCCAAUUUCCAAGUCACUCGGAAGAAACGCAGUCGCCAUGGUAACCACUAUGAACAAGCGGACAGUUUCCAAAAUCACAAGACACACAAUCAACUUGAUAGGCACCAAUAGGACAUCAAGAUGGCUGAAGAAAGCUACUUUAACUACUGAACACGCGCUGGACGAUCGUUGUGACUACUCGCUAAUUUUAGCGCAGACCAACUUGCUGGAGAAUAUGAGGACACUGGAAAUUGAAGCCGAUGGGAUUUUGAUGCAGAUACCUAUGAAACGUCCAAAAUAUUCGGCUCCCAAGCCAGUGGUUUUCUGCGUUUCCCCACAGUUUGCUGCAGAGCAGUGGCAGACUUUUCUGGUGCAGUUGCAUGUUUCAAAGCGAUACGGAGCUCAUCUACAACUGUACGUGGUAUCUAUGGUAGAGUCCUACUUCAACUUGCUCAAGGAAUAUGAAAAACUGGGUCUUGUAUCCAUUGAACCUUGGCUCACAAUAAAAUUUCCUACAACAGAUGGACCAUAUUUGGAGCCAAAUCGUAAUGUGGAGCUCAGAAAUCAGGCAGCUGCACACACGGAUUGUAUUCUCAUGUAUAAGGAAGCUGUAAGCUUUAUUGGAGUUAUUGACAUGGAUGACAUACUCAUUCCAACAAAUGCCAACUCUUACUACGAGGAGUUCGAGAGGGAAUAUGCCGGAAGCUGGGAGAUUAGUGCACUGCAAUACCAGAAAUUCGACUUUCGAACUAUAAAAUCUGCAAAGCUUGAAGCUCAAAGUAUUUCGGAAAUUGUGAAAAAUGCGCGGAGGCUUCCCACAAAAGAUCAAGGGAAAUGCUUCUUCCGUCCAGAAAGAUUCAAUUCAUCUUGGUCCCAUUACUCCAGGAAUUCGGAUAAUCACGCAAUAUAUCUCACUCAAGACCAGGAGCACAGGAUUCAUUGGAGAAGGAAAGUGGGUCAGGCGAAUGGGAUAUUCCACAUGAAGAAAAUGACGAUGGUGAAUUUGGAGCAUGUCCCAGAAGGUGCCAUUCCCGUGAACCCUGGUGAUAAUAUUACAGAGUUGAUUAGUGAGCAGCAUUUGAAGGAAAUCAAUGAGGAUAUGAAAAGAAUGCUCACUCGCCCUGAAAUUGCAAACCUAUCCUCCAUCCUCCCCAAUGAUGACUUUUAUAUGAACAUCGUUUUCCAAUGCUACAACGAAUCCUUCUAUCACAUCCGUGACACGAAUUUCCUCUACAAUGACGUCACCUGCGUGAACGCCUUCAAUUGUGAACUUCCCCAACGAGAGAAUAUACCAUGUAUCCAUUCGGAUGCCACGUACCAUUCUGGACCAAAAAUGUGGCCUAUCACCUAUCACUAUGCAACUAAUUCGUUCUUCUCGAGGGAUAUCGGAUGUUAUCAGUGA